UUCAGCCCGGACAGACCCCACCCACACCCCAAAAAUACCCCAAGCUGGCACUACUGGGAAUGUCGGCACUGUGCAUUUGUGGAGAGGUUCAGACAGCAAUUCCUGGUGCCGACCUGGAGCUCCCACACACCCCCAGGUAUGACCCACCCACCCCAAAUCCCUUCCAGCCCAGGGACACCAUCCAUCAGCAGCAUUAAAGCCAAGGGAACCUUCCCUCAUACAGAAAUUAAACUCCGAGCAAUAACCCUCAGAGAUGCCUUAAAAUAAAAGGUUAGAGUGGGAUGAAGUUUUGUUUGGAUUAAACUUGGAAUUUUUGAGGGAGACAGCUGGAACUACAGAACUGAUGGAGAGCUUUCACAGGAGGGUACCACUGGAGGUGUGCUGAAAGCAGGGAUGUGCAUGUUUCCUCAGGGUAAAGAACUUCCAGAGGCCACUCCAGAGGUUCUGAAAUGAACUCAGCUUCUUCAGAGAGAGAUGACCUCCCCUGGGCCCAGGAGCUGCCUCAGCACUGGCCAGGAGUGUGUGCGGCCACCACUGUCUCCUGCUUUAAAAUAUCGACUGGAGCCUGACCUCAGGGGGAUGAAACUGGCUGAAUUCCAGGGGACUCUGUCAAGUGUCCCCCAGGGACAUCGGUGGGGCUGGGGAAUGAGUGAUAUAAGUAGCAAAUUCUAUGGAUUAUAAACCUGUCUUUGUCCUGAUCCCACUGAGCUUCCCUGGAAACUCUGCUGGUUCCUGACACAGCUGGUGUUAAAGUGGCAGCUCUGCAUAGGAAUAUGCACAUUCCAUGAGGCACUGUCAGGUUAUUCCAGCAGGAAAUGUGGGGCUACAGGUAUAAUUCAUCUGAACUAGCAAAGCUGAUACUGAACCCCAGAUCUGGGCAUCACACAGAGAACAAUCUUUGUGCUGUCCUGUCAGGUAAAGGCUGGGAAAUUUCAGCAGCCAAGUGUAUGGAAAGAUCUAAAUCCCAGCCCCCAGCAUCCCCCAGAGGGGGACAAUUCAAGUCCAAGGGUGGGAGCUGGUGUCCUUUCCCUGCUGCUGGUGGGACAAAUUCCCUCUACACAGUUGACCCUGGCUGGGUGUGAGCUGAGAGCAGGAGAGGAGGGAGGGUGGAUCGGCUGCCCAGGAAUCUCUGGGAGACGAGGCUGCUGGAAUCCCAGCUGAAACAUUCUUUCCUUGCAGAAGACAGGAGCCAAAGCAGAUCCCUCCUGGCCAGGCUGUGGGCAGCAGCUGGAUCUGCUCUGGGGGAAAACACCCUGCCCCUGCCAGGAGCUCUGACUGCUUUUCCUCCCAGCUCCUGAGCAGUGUAGGGCCACUGUGAGGGAGUUCAAAUCCAAAUAAACCCCACAGCCCACGGAGUGAGUAAUCCCAACAGAGAAAUGCAGUGUUGUCAUAAAAAGCUUAAAGAUCUGUUAAAAAGGCUAUGACAACGCAGUAAUGGGAUUCCCAUGAGCUUUCUUAGUAUUCUUGGUUCCAUUUUUAUGUAUUUUUAAUCCCUCAAUGGGCAGCUUAUAGAAUUUAUUCUGGGACCUAGAGGUUGAGCAGGGCUGGCUUUGGACUGACCUUCACCUCUGGUCCCACUUUGCACAAACACAACUUGGGCUGAGCUGGGUGAUCACCUCAGCUUUUCCCUCCAGAAUAUCCCCUACUUCUUUCCCUGCAGAUGAACUUGGAUUUUGCCCCAAACUGUCCCCAAACUCACCUCCACUUGCCCUCCCGGUGUCCAUUCUGUUCCCCACAGGUGCCCUGGUGACACCAGGGAGGUGCCCACAGUGCCUUUCUCUCCAGCCAGAGGCCACUCUGCUGGCUCUCUUCAGUCUGGUCCCACACAGUGGGGCACAAAAGGGGAAAGGUUUGAGAACACAUCAGCACGUUUCUGUGUUUCAACAAAUCUCUCAUCAAAUUAUCUUUGUGUCACUUUCCAUGUGAGGUUUAUGUGUCAAAAAUCCAUGUUUUCCUAUUCAGACUAAUUUUGAAGUUUUUCAGGAAAUCAUGAUCUCACAGGACUAACACCUCUCAACACCAAUUGCUGCUUCUCUCUCUGCCAGGGCACCAGCAAGAAGUUCUGGGUCAGUUCUUGUUCCAUGCUUGCCAGUGACCUCAAGAGAAAAAGGGAUCGCUGCACUCACUCCAGGGUACUUGUCAGGAAAAAAGGAGCAAGUGGAGACUUUAUGGCUUCCCUGGGAUCUUUUCUCCUUCAACCAUUGCGGGCAGUGACCGGGAAAUGCUCUCUGGGAACCCAGUGUGAGGAGCACGGGUGGACUGCUGACAGGGGUCAGCUUAUCAAGAAUUUGCUUCCUUGACUGUGUUUUAAACCCAGAACCAAAGUUCCCCCUGCACAGCUCCCAAAACAGUAACAACCUGUCACUUUCGAUGUUUGUAGGAUCUAGUUUGCUGUAGGGCUUUUGGGGGUGGGGUGGGGAGAGUUUCAUGUUUUGAAGAAACACUGAAGGGCUUUCCUGUCCUGCCCAGGUACAAUUUGCUGUCAGCCUGGGCAUCCCACUUCAAGGCUUCCUUCAGCAACGCUAACAAAACCUUCUGGGUGUCCGUGUCCAUGCUGGUCCUGCUGGCUGCUCUCACGAGCUUCCUGAUGGGGCUGUCCCUGCAGAGGCCAGCAGAUGCAGCCCCUGUGGGCACUGGGGACUCCUGGACACUGGUGCAGCAGCUGCUGUGGCCCUACACAGGACUGCAACACAACGGCCCUCCCCCGGUAUAACCCCGGCUCUGCUGCCGGAGCUGCGCUGCCACGCUCUGCCGGACAGGAGCUGAGGCUGCCCUUGAUUUAAGGUUACGUGUCUGGGUUUCUUUUGUUGGGUUGGGGGUAUUUUUGGGGAGGAGAUUUAUUUUUUUAUUUUAAAGCAUGAAUUGAAUUUUUUUUUUAAAAAAGGUGUUUUUUUCGCCAUUCUGGCAGAAGUUAUCUUUAAAAGUAGCUAAAAGGGUCUCAGUUCUGUAGAGUUUACAAUAGAACAGCAAUUUUUAACAUUGUUAACAAUAAACACGUCUAGGUGGUCUAGCCACAAGAGAAUAAAGAAUUUAUUUUGCUUGAACAAAGAUAAAAUGUUUGCAUUUUAGAACCUGUUUCAGUGAUUUGAACAGAAAAGGAUUUAAGACUUGAAAUGUAACUUUUUUGAAAGCUUUUGAUAAUAAAGUUUUGAAGGAAA
Non-coding RNA from Cyanistes caeruleus (blue tit), 3158 nucleotides. The record is from RefSeq and is a predicted model, not a curated record. NCBI's taxonomy places the organism in Eukaryota, Metazoa, Chordata, Aves, Passeriformes, Paridae.